Long non-coding RNA from Branchiostoma floridae (Florida lancelet), 1186 nucleotides. RefSeq lists it as uncharacterized. NCBI's taxonomy places the organism in Eukaryota, Metazoa, Chordata, Leptocardii, Amphioxiformes, Branchiostomatidae. The record is from RefSeq and is a predicted model, not a curated record. The transcript is spliced from 3 exons.
CGUCGAAACUUUUUUUAUCUUAGACGUGUGCACAAGAGGCAACUAAGUAUGCCAAGAAGCUGAAGGCCAUAUACGACGCGAACCCGAGAGUUCUCAGGCUCAAGCACUCCUCACGGGCCGAGCGUACCUGGGCUGUGGACGGGAAGAACGUCGUGCACGGAGAGAACCUGUUCUGGACCUUUUCGUCCGCGCCGUCGUGUUCUGGGGUUAGCAAGUACACGAACGCCGUUGAGGCCUGGUAUGACGAGCUGAAGUACUACAAAUCCUGGCGGAAUUACAACCGGCGGCCUGUUACUUCCAGAGGCAUUAGGAAGUACGGCCACUUCACUCAGCUGGUGUGGAAAGCUUCUGUCGGCGUUGGCUGUGGCAGGUCCGGUAACACAGGGAACCACAUCCUCGUCUGCAUGUACGAAACGGCCGGCAACCGGCUCAGAACGAGUGCGUUCAACAAAAAUGUCAAAAUUUAGACGACACGUCACAUCCGGCCUGACGUCACAUCCGACCUGACGUCACAUCCCGCCCGACCACGAUUACGACCAUGAUCUGAAUGUAUAACUUGUAAUACUAAUAACAAAUAUAUACGGAGAAGUAAACCUCCUUCCUUAUAGCUCUAUCUCCGAAGCUAAUUAAUGUCUUCCAGGUUACAAAAAUAAGUUUUACUUUGUUGUCUAUGUAAUACUCUGACGUAUCUUAUUCAAAUUUUUUAGCUGUCGUAAUGUGUUUUGACAAAACGCUAAAACACCUUUUAUUAUCCGCGGGAUAACCUAUAUCAAUUGUUUUGAAAAACAGGGUACUUACGAAAAUCUAGUCUACGGAUGACGGUUUCAAACAACAACAUUUUGAAAAUAUUGCAAUUGAACCCACCGCCCGUAGAUUUGAUAUCCCUAGAUACCUAGGUUUCCUUUGAAAUAACGGAUUUACAUGUAGGUUACCCCGUGGAUAAAGGUGAACUAUCCUUACAUGCUUAAGGUUGCCAUAUCGCAAAUAAUUUGUUAUCUGUUAACAUUUAGAUAUUUUCUCUCCGCCAUUCAAAAUGUUUCUAAUGUAAUCUCGCUCUUUUGCAUAUGCCUGAAGUGAUACAAAAUUUGCAUUAAGAAUUGCUUCUUUCUUAAAAUCUACGACAUUAUAUUGUAUUAUCUUAGAAUAACUGUAAUAGCCAAGACAUGAAAUAAAUUGUGAAAUCGCA